AUUGAACGCUGGCGGCAUGCCUUACACAUGCAAGUCGAACGGUAACGGGCCUUCGGUUGCCGACGUGUGGCGAACGGGUGAGUAAUACAUCGGAACGGGCCCGAUCCUGGGGGAUAACGGGGCGAAAGCUUUGCUAAUACCUCAUACCACCUACGAAUUAAAGAAGGGGGCCGCAAGGCCUUGCGCUGACGGAGCGGCCGAUGGCGGAUUAGGUAGGUGGUGGGAUAAAAGCUUACCAAGCCGACGUUCUCUAGCUGGUCUGAGAGGACGAUCAGCCACACUGGGAUUGAGACACGGCCCAGAUUCCUACGGGAGGAAGCAGUGGGGAAUUUUGGACAAUGGGCGAAAGCUUGAUCCAGAAAUGCGGGGUGCAGGAUGAAGGCCUUCGGGUUGUAAACUGCUUUUGUACGGAACGAAAAGCGUUCUUUUAAUACAGGAGGGUCAUGACGGUACCGUACGAAUAAGCACCGGCUAACUACGUG
This 482-nucleotide ribosomal RNA is filed under the name uncultured bacterium. RNAcentral describes it as "partial 16S ribosomal RNA". It matches the Rfam family "Bacterial small subunit ribosomal RNA", at positions 30 to 507 of the family's 1533-position model. The record is from RNAcentral.